CGCUCAACCUCAGCAAGCACAUGAUGUUUUACGAAGCGCCUUGCCACCGUAUUUCCGUUGUAAUGUUGGAAUUUUAGUAACUCUGUUGUAAUGGUAUGAUCGUGCACCUGUAUUUCGUCAUGACUGUUAGAAUAAAUCCGAGGUACGUGAACGAUCCAUCGAGGAGCAAGUAAUCACAGACAAUGAUGACACCGAGAUUUGUUAACGAAGUUCGGCGAACUCGCCUACUCCCCGAGGCAAUGACUACGGGUGCUCCUUUCCGAGAUACCGCAAGGUGCUCCUUUCCGAGAUACCGCAACACCGACCACCCGGGCGCCGGCACAAGCCGUCAGCACCCGCUGGCGAGCCUGUCGUUAUUUAGUCGUCAUGUGUUACAACGUGGGGUGUCUCCUCAUAUAUAAGAGGCCAAGGGUACAACGUGUCCGACUCCGACACUACACGUAUCCUACCCACACUACAACACCAAGUCCAAGCGUAACCCAACUAGUACAAAAUAUUCGACACAAACACAACAAACUCCACCUUGACAAAUAUUCUUCACCACCUUGAAUUUGUCCAUGCGUCAAACUUUCAUGUACUCCGGACUUGUGCUGUCUUCUUCGUAGCUUACCGAGAGCUACUCGACGAGUCUGCCCCAGACCCGCCGCCACCGUGAGACCCCGCUGCUACUCCCGCAACUCCAGUCUCCGUGACUCCACCUGCAAUAGUGCUUCCUUGUAACUUGUAAAGAUGCGAAGCCGUCUUCUCUCCAAUCAUCACGGUCACCUCAUCUUCUAUGAUUCUCAUGGUCUUCUUAUCCCGAUCACAACGGAAUACCAUACCAUCAUUAUGAAGAACACCAAGCGAAAUUAGAUUCCUCCUUAGCCCUGGCACAUGCCUGACUCCCCGAAGCAUCCGCUCAACUCCGUCAAACAUCUUGAUUUUGAUGUCACCUACUCCAGCAACACGAUAACCUGUGUCAUCGCCCACAUAGGCUAAACCAAACUCACCAGACUUGUACGAAGAGAACCACUCUUGUUGGUUGUCGCAUGAAAAGAGCAAGCUGAAUCCAACAUCCACGCUUCACCUUUGUUUGACCGCCUGUCUGAUACUAUGAGAACAUCACUACUGCUGUCUGAGUCAUCACCAUGAGCUGCCUUAUUAGCACUUGCCCCACCAUUGAGUUCUGGACAGUCCUUUCUCAUAUGUCCCCACUGCUUACACUUGUGACACUGUAUAUUCUUUUUUUUUCUUGUUCUUCCCAGCCUCAUAUCCCUUCCGCCACUGCUCACCCUUGACUAGCAAACCUUCAUCAUGAGAGACUUCCACCGCGUUCUUCUUUCUCAUAUCAUAAGAUAGCAAUGCGCAGUAAUAUCCUCAUUCUUGACGGUCUCCUUGCCGUGCGUCAAAGUAGUGAUCAAAUGGUCAUAGGAUGAUGGCAAUGAACAAAGAAGCAGAAUUGCCCUAUCCUCGUCAUCAACCGUCGCACCCAAGCGUGCUAGAUCCGUCACGACUUGAUUAAAGGCGUUCAUAUACUCCACAAGAUCUGACCCCUCCUGCAUCCUCAUCCCAUACAACUUUUGCUUCAGAUACACCUUGGUCGUCGCAGUCUUGGACAUAAACUGACUUUCCAGCUUCUCCCAGAUCUUCUUCGGCGAAUUCUCAUCCAUCACAUGAUAAAUAAUCUGGUCCGACAGACACAACCGUAUAGUCCCGGCUGCUUUCAACUGUAACUCCUCCCAGUCAUCCGCCUCCAUCUUAGCUGGCUUGGCUUCCUUCAACAACGCCUUCAAGCAUCAUCCUUGUUGUGCCAACAAAUCUUUUACUCUUGUUUGCCAUAACCCAAAGCUUCCAGUUCCGUUGAACUUCUUCACCUCAAACCUGGUACCCGAUAACGCCAUGAUUCUUUGUACGGCCGACUCCGUGAAAAAUAACCGAGCAGUCUUCCCGUGAUCCGCAAGUACACGAACCAAACCUCCGCGUACUGCUACUAGCGGUCAACGAACUAGUUGAUCUUCACGUCAAAGUGCUCCCUUGGCUCAACUACGAUACUAGCGCUAUUUGCUUUCCUGCCAAAGCCUGUCCUCUCGAUGGAUGCGAAGCCCCUGAUGGAUUUUUUCUGGCCGAUCUCGAUCUGAUCUAUUGCCUCGUCUUGUCCCUAGCCGGCUGCCUUAUUUUAUACUGCGCGUGCAAGGCUCCAGCAGUCCGGCUCGGCUACGAGUUCUAUCGGGACUCGGUCCCUUUUGUUUCCAAAACAAAUCCCACGUCCGCUGCUUCCGAUUGCAAGAGAUAAUAUCGUCAAAAUCUGAACCUACCAAUCGAGUCACGCUCAGCUGCCCCUGCACGCGACCUGCCGCUCGGGCUGCCUGCCCGUGUCCCUGAUGGACUGCAUCAUGGACUGCAUCUGGGCCCAGCUGCUAGCUCCGCAGGCCACGUCUCGAUCUCGUCGAUUCCGAGUAGGCACCGUGACGCCACGCAAAUUUUCCGACCUCACCGACGCCUGAUUUCUCCACCUCUAGAUCAAGCGAAUAACCAUCUCGAAACCUAGCUCUGAUACCACUUGUUAGAAUAAAUUCGAGGUACGCGAACGAUCCAUCGAGAAACAAGCAAUCACAGACAAUGACAACACCGAGAUUUGUUAACGAGGUUCGGCGAACUCGCCUACUCCCCGGGGCAAUGACUACGGGCGCUCCUCCCCGAGAUACCGCAACACCGGCCACCCGGGCGCCGACACAAGCCGCCAGCACCCCCUUGCGAGCCUGUCGCUAUCUAGUCGUCAUGGGUUACAUCGUGGGGUGCCUCCUCAUAUAUAAGAGGCCAAGGGUACAAUGUGUCCGACUCCGACACUACACGUAUCCUACCCACACUACAACACCAAGUCCAAGCGUAACCCAACUAGUACAAAAUAUUCGACACAAACACAACAAUGACUCUGGACUUGAAUACCAUAUGCAUGCUAUAUGCUGUACUUGAUGCUUCUGUGUUUUCAGUCUGGUUGGCAGUUUAUAUCAUGGAUUUGGCUAACGGAUAGUUUUGUAUGUUCUGAUGCGGCAUAGUUGCAUAAAGAGAAAAAAAACAGGUAGUGGGUUGCAC
This 3072-nucleotide long non-coding RNA is filed under the name Triticum aestivum (bread wheat). Its description in RNAcentral is "long non-coding RNA (TAES_LNC003462)". Lineage: Eukaryota; Viridiplantae; Streptophyta; Magnoliopsida; Poales; Poaceae. The record is from RNAcentral.